GGAGCGCAGGUAGAAGGCAGCAGCUCACAGGAAUGGAGCCUGGGAACCCAGACUGUGGGGAGAGAGGGACAGCCUGCUGGCGGGGCAGGGACUGUGGGAGUCACCCCAACAAACAUUGGUAGGGAGCCACUGAAAUGAUUAAGCCAACCUGUGGCACGCCUAGAUUGAGGUUUUAGAAAGAUUCUGGUGGUCUCCAUCUGGGUGGUUAAUUAGAAAGGAAAGAAACUUGAAGACUAGCCCAAAAUAAAUAAAAGCCAAUCCAAGGCAGCGACGGUGUGCGCUGGGAAACCAGGAGAGAAAAGCAACAAGAACUCAGCAGUUACUUGGGAACAAUGUGGAGAAAGGGAGGAAUGCUAACGAGGACAGAAGGAAGAUUAUAGUUGACAGUGGGAAGCUGAAGCCUUAAAAAGUGAAAGUUCAUGCUGUGGUUUCUGUGUGGUGUCCCCCAAAAGCUCACAUGUGAGACAAUGGAAGAAGAUUCAGAGAAAAAAUGAUUAGAUUAUGAGAGUCCUGACCCAAUCCGUGAAUUAAUCACCUGAUAGGAUUAACUGAAAGGUAACUAAAGGUAAGUGGGGUGUGGCUGGAGGAGGUGAGGCUUUGGGGGUUUGGCUGUGGGGUAUAUAUUUGUAUCUGGUGAGUGGAGUCUCUCUGUCUGCUUUCUGAUUGUCAUGUGAGCUGCUUCCCUUCAUCACACUCUUCCACCAUGAGAUUCUGUCACCUUGAGCCCCAAGAAAUGGACCCAGCUGCCCAUGGACUGAGACCUCUGAAACUGUGAACCCCAAAUAAACCUUUUCUUCCUCUGCAGUUGUUCUGGUCUGGUCCUUUAGUCACAGCAGCAAAAAAGCUGACUAAAACAGAAAUUGGUACUGAGAAGUGGGGUCAUUGCUGUGACUAAACUGACCAUGUGAUUCAGAAGCUUUUGGAGGUUUUUGGAAUCAGUUGGAGAAAUUUUGAGAUGUGUAGCAGUGCAAGCUGGAAAUGCUUUAGAUUGUUGUAAGUGGAGUUUAAUGGCCGAUUAUGGUGGGAGCUCAGAAGACCAGGAUGCCAAUAGGACCCUGGACAGUGAGGACAGGGCUCAAGAGGGUUCAGAGAAGGAGAAUUCUAUUGGAAUUUAAAGUAGAGGCCAUUCAUGUUAUAUUCUGGUUGAGAAGUUAUCUGCAUUUUACCCAAGUUCUGAUACUUUCUGUGAGGCUGAUAUUAAGUGAUGGACUUCUUAAUCUGGUGGAAGAAAUGCCUAGGCAUUCAGGAAAUUGCAUGAUAUUUCUGGCAGCUUUUAUUUGUUUAUUUUGAUAUUCAGAAGCAGAAAGCAGAGCAGAAAGAUUUGAAAAACUUGGACUUGAAAGGUAGGAGUAAAACUGGGGCUAAGGAAGUUGCAGUUGUUAAAGACAUUACUGGCACAAAAGAAAUCCUGAAGACUUUGUUUAGAGACAAUAAGAAAGAUGGCCUGAGGGCAACUCAGGAGCUGGCAAGACCAUAUCCAUCUCAGGCUCCAGGGAAUAAAAGUGAAAAUUCUCAUGAGAAGAGACCAGUGAAAAAUCCUUCUUGCCCAAGGGGGCCUUGGAAGUUUUCUCAAUGUGCUCAGCCACCCAGGCACUUAGAGGCUGCUACAGCCAGGGUCCUUGGAAGCUUGGCUACUGCUCAAGAUGGCAGCAGAAAUUGGUGUCAACCACACGGUGCUGUAGGAAUGCAGGAUGCUGGAGUUAGGAGGCCAUGGAGGCUCCCACCAAGAUAUCAAAGGAAGGCUUGGGAAGCAGGCAGAGUGCAGCAGGGUCAGAGUCCCUGCAGGCAGCCCCGGAGAGGGCCAUGUGUGGAGAUUUGAGGAGGAAGCCAAAGCUGCAGUGGAGACCCCAAAAUUAAGAAAUGCCAUUACAAUGAAAUGUCUGCCAAGGAAGGCUGCAGGAAUCAAGCUGAGACAAGCCAACAGAAAGGCCACUUGGACUGCAGCUAACACGGCCAUAGGGAUGGAGGUACACAAGCCCUUUGGAUAGAACAUCACCAUGCCAUGUGCCCCAGAUGCUGAACAUCAAGUUACAGGACUUGUUUGCCCAGCUGAAUUUCAGUUUUGCUUUGUUCCUAUCCCUUCUUUCUAUGCCCCCUUUUUUCCUAAAUGGAAAUGUUCACUGUCUACCAUUAUAUAUUGGAUACUUGUAGAUUGCUUUUAAUUUUAUAGGAGCUCACAAUGCAAGAUUGCCUUGAGCCUAAGAGAAGACUUUGGACUUGAACUCUUGAGUAUACCCUAAGUCAGGUAUUUGACAUGGCAUUUUACACCACUUAAUCAAUUAUUUGUCAGUGCUACCAAUCAAGGACCACUAGGAACACACAUGUUAGCAAUGAAGUUUAUUUUAUCAACUUCCCACAGCAAGGGAUUCUGGCACUCUGCAGGAAAAACCAUGGGGUAUCUCAGGAAGAGGGAUAUGGAAAGAGCUGGUUAAAGAAAUUGCAUUGAUGUUAAGUGAUUUGGGGAAAAGUCAAAAGACACAGGUAUAUUUUGUGUGUCUACCCUCUAAAUGGAGGGCAAUGCAGUAAUUGGUAUGUUAAUUUUAUUCCAGGAGGCUGAAGAAACAGAAUAUAGUUAGAUUGUCAUGAGAGAUAAAAAACAGCAGCCAUUCCUGUUAGCUAAAUAUUUGAUCAUUUUUAUGGUUGCAUGGGAUCUCUGUCAGGUGUCAUUAUGGAGCAGACCUGGUUCUUUUCCCAUUCCACCAUCAUCAUGAAGAAUCCUCUUCUAACACUGAUAUUCUGUGAAAUUAUUUGUGUUCAGCAGGAGAACACUAUGGCCUUGUCAGAGAAAUUAGGUCAACUACCAGGUAAUAAGUAUCAGGGCUGCUAUUUUUCUUUGAGUUUAUCUGGGUGGGGUGAUAAGCUUUGCUGUCCGGGUCUUUUUAUCUUCAAAAUUCUGCUCACCAGAAUAGUCUAACUUGGACAAAUGUCAGUCCCUUCUGGUCUUUCUAUUAUAGAAUGAGUUAUUGGAUCAUCCGAUAUGAAAACUAGCUACAUAGUAAAACUUAAGAAUCUAGACAAGAGGCACUGACCUACUGCAAUACAGGCAAUUACCUUAUUUCAAGAAAAAUUAUUAGAUAGGAGAAACAUUAUUCAUUUAGUGGCCUACAUCACCAACCCCAGGUCUCAAAAGUGUGCUUUAAAAAUGCAAGUGCAAGGGGCUGGGGUUGGGGCUGGAGCUGGGAUUGGGGCUCCUGGUAGAGCGCUUGCCCAGCAUGCGUGGGGCACUGGGUUUGAUCCUCAGCACCUUAUAAAAAUAAAUAAAUAAAAUAAAGGUAUUGUGUCCAUCUAAAACUAAAAAUAUUUUUUAAAAAUGCAAGUGGAUCUUAUUGUAUCAUAAACUCCCUUUGGUUAGCUAAGAAGAAACUCAGGGCCAUGUGAUCAUCCAUAAAAGUCCCCAGGAAUGAAUUUAAACUGCUUUAAUGGGCUUCAGGUGGCAGUGUCCAUAUAAGAAAUAGUUCUCCAGUGGGGCAUGGAGAAUACAAAUAUUGCUUAUCUUAGAAGGAGUGAACCAAUCACUGGGCCCUAAGGGAAGACGUGUAUUCUGAAUGAAGUGAACCAGUUCCUAUAGAUAUAAUGACUCUGCAAACAGACAAUAGGGUAGUUCCCAUUGCUUAUGAACCAGGUUUAGUUGGCAGGAAUUUUUUUGUUUGUUUCUAUUUGUGGUGAUGGGGAUAAAACCAGUACCCCUCACACACUAAGAAGUUUGUGUGUUAAUGACUAGUUGGCAGGGUUUAUGAAAUCAUAAGUACUUUUAAAUUUUUCCCAUUAGAUUUGUAGGCUACCCAGAUAAGGUAUUUUCUUUGCUUAAAAGUAAUUCAUCAGCCAGUUACUUAAGAGAAAUAGUAAUAAAGACUUCUUUUAUGUCAUAUGAUUUUUUUUAUAUAUUUUACUGGUGCAUUAUAGUUGUACAUAGUACUUUCUGAUGUGGAGGCAAAGUCUGUUUUUUUUUUUUUUUCCCUAAGGUUGAUAGCUGGAAUUCAUAAUGUAAGAGAAAUAUCAAGGCCAAAGAAAAUCUAUCUUGAAAAGUUGUUAUUAUUAUUUAUUUUAUUAUUUUGGUGGUACUAGGGAUUGAACCCAGGGGUGUUCUACCACUGAGCUACACCCCCAACCUCUUUUUUAAAAUUUUGGUUUGCUUUAGUUUAUUGAACAUCUUUCUAACAUAAACUAUGAGAAAGCAACUCUGAUUCAAUGGAAGAGAUGCCAAGAGUCAAGAUUAAUAUUCAUUAUUAGCGUAUAAAACUGAGGGAAGGAUUUGUGCCCAGCCCUUUUUAAUUUUUAUUUUUUAUUUUGAGACAGGGUCUUGCUAAGUUGCCUUAAACUUUCAAUCCUCCUGCCUCAGCCUCCGAAGUAGAUGAUAUUACAGGAUUCUACCACCACACCUAUCAAAAAAGUUAUCUUGUGACAUAAAAAGAAAAAAUCCAAAUUGGAAUUUUUCUUCUUUUAUUUCACCAUUGAUAUAACAAUUAGUAAUAAAGACUUUACUAAUUCUCCUUUGCAUGUAAGUA
This is a long non-coding RNA of Marmota monax (woodchuck), 4505 nucleotides long. RefSeq lists it as uncharacterized. The transcript is spliced from 2 exons. Lineage: Eukaryota; Metazoa; Chordata; Mammalia; Rodentia; Sciuridae. The record is from RefSeq and is a predicted model, not a curated record.